Molecule: ribosomal RNA, 253 nt
Filed under: uncultured bacterium
Lineage: Bacteria
Description: partial 16S ribosomal RNA
Rfam family: Bacterial small subunit ribosomal RNA
Source: RNAcentral
UACAGAGGGUGCGAGCGUUAAUCGGAAUUACUGGGCGUAAAGGGUGCGUAGGUGGUGAUAUGAGUUAUAUGUGAAAUGCCUGGGCUUAACCUGGGACUGGCAUAUAAUACUGUAUGACUAGAGUUAGGUAGAGGGGAGUGGAAUUUCUGGUGUAGCGGUGAAAUGCGUAGAUAUCAGAAGGAACACCGGUGGCGAAGGCGGCUCCCUGGACUGAAACUGACACUGAGGCACGAAAGCGUGGGUAGCAAACAGG